RNAcentral lists this unclassified non-coding RNA (254 nucleotides) under Hevea brasiliensis (rubber tree). The record is from RNAcentral. Lineage: Eukaryota; Viridiplantae; Streptophyta; Magnoliopsida; Malpighiales; Euphorbiaceae.
AUUUUUCCAUACCAGUUGCAUUAUUUUCUAAUCACGAUUUCUCUCAGUAAUCGGCGAUGACGCACUCCUCCGCCUCCGGAUUCUCCCUGCAGAACGGCUCCAGCGGAUCCGCCGCCCCCUCGACAAUCCUCCGCCGGAGAUGCGCCUUCGCCUGACUCACCUCCUCCACCUCAUCCCACGCGACCCUACACCCAUCAUCCCCUCCAUGCUCCCCCUCGCAGGCCUGCCCUGCCUCCAUCUUCUCCCUCAAUCCA